RNAcentral lists this ribosomal RNA (270 nucleotides) under uncultured archaeon. Its description in RNAcentral is "partial 16S ribosomal RNA". It matches the Rfam family "Archaeal small subunit ribosomal RNA", at positions 477 to 747 of the family's 1478-position model. The record is from RNAcentral.
CAGCACCUCAAGUGGUCAGGAUGAUUAUUGGGCCUAAAGCAUCCGUAGCCGGCGCUGUAAGUUUUCGGUUAAAUCUGUACGCUCAACGUACAGGCUGCCGGGAAUACUGCAGCGCUAGGGAGUGGGAGAGGUAGACGGUACUCGGUAGGAAGGGGUAAAAUCCUUUGAUCUAUUGAUGACCACCUGUGGCGAAGGCGGUCUACCAGAACACGUCCGACGGUGAGGGAUGAAAGCUGGGGGAGCAACCCGGAUUAGAUACCCGAGUAGUCC